GAUUUCAGCUGAACCUGCCUUCUCUUACAAUGCACCGCACACCCCACAAGGGAGCCUGAGAACAGACUCCCUUGAAAAGCACGGUUCUCAUAGUUGGCCUGUAACCAUGGAAGCAGAUGCUGUUUUCUUCUUACCCUGCUUACCUCUUUGCAGCCUCGAGCUGCUGCCUAUUGUUAAAAGGGGGUACGCCUCGAUUCUUCUUCAUCAUGACCGAACUUGCCUCUUCUUCAAAGGGCAUGAUGCUGCAGGUCAUUGGUCUAGACUGUUUUCACGGUCCAGAGAGCAGCCUUGAUGUAACCCUUGCUCCGUCUGAGCCACACCACCAGCCGUGCAGCUGCAGACUGGAGGGGGACAUUGGAGAUCCGUAUUUGAAAAGAAGUCUGUCUGAUUUUGCCAUUGUGCCUUUUCACUCAUCGAUCGAAUGAAUAUCGAACCUUCUGUCGUUGCAUGUGUGAAAUAGAUAGCUUAGCCAGCACUUUUGUGCCCAACCUGUGCUGUGGGCCAAAAGGUUUUCAUUUUAGUCUCAAGGUUUUUUUUUUUGUUUUUUUGUUUUUUUGUUUUGUUUUGUUUUGUCUUUUCCUUUCUUUCCUCAGACUUGAUGAAUUUUGUGCUGGCUUAAAUUAUUUGUAUGCCUUUAUCCAGCUGUUCUGGAGACUGCUUGGGGUACUGUACCAGCAGGGAUUUGGUUUUGGUGUGAAAAGGGAACUUCUUUCCCCUCCUGUCCUCUGUUUGUUUUCCUUUGUAGCUGUCUUAAGGUCUUUUGUAGCUUUGUAGGUAGAAGUGCGCUAACUUUUACUACACCCUAUAAAGCCGAACAUCUAAGUUACCCUUUUACGGGGACGACUUGAUGGUGUCUGUUACUUAACAGGCUUAAAUCCAGAAAGGUGAACUUGAGCCUCUCAAGGUGAUUUCAGUGAUUUAUAAGAGUAAGUAAACCGGAUAAUCACAUUGAUUUUUUUAAGCUGAACAAAAGUGUUUGGUAAACUCUAUUCGAAAGGAAUUUGUUUUCUUUGUUUUCUCCUUCUUUGAACAUCAGCAGAAAUAUUAUUUGGAAGCGUUGACAUAUACUUAAAAGCACAUAACUUCUUUUGUGCUUAGGAAAGUACAAAUGACAGAUAAAAUCAUUAUGAUUUAAUAUAUUGAGUAAAUAUAUUGAUAAUAUCUGUCUGUGGGCACGAUUGAACUAUAAAGUAACUAAAAGGUCUUUGCAUUUCAUUUUUUAAAUAUAACUAAAAUUUCCUUGCUGCUCACUAGCAGCUGAUGUUAAUGGCUGAUGAGACUUGUGCCACCUGCUCACUCCCGUAUGCCCAAUUUUACCGUGUCCUUGUGAAACUCGGUAACUUCGGGAUGUCCUGGGUGUAUCUCCCCAGCAUGGUGAUUACGAAGCAUUGUCUGUGAGUGUCAUCAGGAGUGGUUUCCUUUGAUUUGAAGAAACCAGUAGUUCAUACUUAAAGGCAUACAUAUUUUCUCUAACUGCCAAAGGCAAGGGGGAGGUCCGUGGCAGAAUAAAGAAGGUUACUGUGACAGAUGAAAUAUAAUUCACAAUGAGCACUCUUUUCAUCUAGACUGAAGUACCACGCGAUUACUUACAAGCUGAAUUUUGGGACAGAACGUAUAAGCUCAUUUAAAACAAAAAGCUAGAAAGAAAAGCAGCAAGCCUAGUUCUCUUUGGCUCAGGAGUGUUUAUCUUGUGUAUGUCUGUCUUGGGAUCAUAUUUUGUUUCUUCUAACAUAGAAGAUACACUGGCAAGAAGAGGGACUAGGCAGAAAGGGUAAAAAGGAAGGAGUCUAAGGGCAAUCAAAGCUACUUUUUCCCUCUAACAAUGAAGAAAGACGAGUUAGAUGGAUUUUUUUUUUUUUAUUCUUUGGCAUGCACAUGCAACAAUCAUUAUUUUUCAACACACUUUUUUUGGAUGCAAAAGUAGGUUCUGUAUUCAAGCCCAUCGUAUGUCUCCCGAGAAGGAAAAACUUCCUCAAAAUUCAUGACUGAAACCAUCUUCACAUCCAAACUAUAUUGCUCUAGAAUGCCAGGGCUCCUAAAGAAAGGUCAAAGACCAACAUCUCUGUUUCCUUAGUUUCUUCAUUUUUUUUUUAAUAUUUGAUAAAAUUAGGAUAGAGUACUAUUUACCUUUGAAAGUUCAUUAUUCAAGAACAUUAGUGUUCAUAUAUCUAAGAAUAAAAAUGAUAUUUUUCUCUGUUGAAGAGACUUUUAAAGAAAUAUAAUAAAAUAUUACUUUUCUAUUGAAAAUAUAUUGAGUAUUAGUAAAGUAAUGUGUUAGAGUUAACAAAUUUUCCAAAAGUAAAUAUGUGAGAACUAUGCAAUUAAAUAGUAAAAUUUUAUGAAUAAAAAUUCACAUCAUAAAAAUAAAACAUCUAAACUAUACCUGUGUAUAAUGUACAUUAUAUUGGAAAUAGUAUUCAGCUUUCAUUGUUUUCAAGUCUAAAAGAAACCCUAUCUAUAAAGAACACUAUAUCCUAAUUUAAAAAAUAAUGUGUUAAUGUGGUCUUAGGAGAAUAAAACAAAUCUAAAUCUCUGUUAAUUAAUACUUCGGUAAAGUACAUUCUCUUAGUUGAACUAUUGCUGGAACCCCUACUGGGAUUAUACUUUUCAAUUUCUAUUUAUAAUUUAGAAAUACAAAGCAGAGGUACAAAAUUUCUCAUCUGUAUACUCAUGUUCCCAAGCUUACAAGAGCUUGAGUUGUGACUCAUUGACUUAAAAUUGUGUAAAAGUGAUAUGCACUCAGUACAAACAGUAACACUAACGAUGAAUGAUAUUAUCCAGGGAUAUAUAUGACCUUGCUAUGUUUGGGUCAGCCAUGUGAUCAUGAGGGUAAACAAUCUCUACAUUCUUCAAGCCCUGCUAAUCCAUAUUCAGUUAAAAUCAAAGAUGAAAAAUAUUUAAACAUAAGGGCAUUUCUAAAGAGUAUUAUUUAUUUCCCAGACUCAUCCCCCACAACAGAGAAGAAACUAGGAUGGAUCUCCACGUUUUAUCACUUGUCUGGCAUGUACAAGGCCCUGAGUUUGAACUUUGACAUUUUGUUACAAAAAGUAGCUAUAUAUCAUUUGAAAGCUUAAUAUAAGAAAUUAAACUGUCAGCUCACUCAUGGCAUAGGAACCACUUAGUAGAGGCCUGCUUUCAACAAGGCCUUUCUGAAAAGAUUCAUAAAAUGAAAUAUAUUGGCAAUGUUUAUGUAAGGAGUUCUUUUGUUUUAAAUCCACUCAUUGAAAUACCAUAUUUUUAUUGCCUCUGUGAUAUCCUAGGUUUUAGAAAAGUUUAUUCACUCAAAAAUACUUGAUAGAAAUCUAUUAGCAAUGCUCUAGUGAAUAAAAAUAUAGUCAUUUUAAAAAAUGAUUAGAGGAUUAUCUGCUGUGGUAGAGAGGAACAAGAGUGAGAAAGAAGAGAUAGGAUUCCAAAAAAAUGCUCUCAGAUGAAGAAUGGGAACAAAGUUUGAAAAACUCAGAAUUGUCCAACCAUGCAAACAACAUACAGUUUUAACCUAGAAGGAAUAGCCUGUGGCAGAGACUCUGGGUAGACAGGAGCUUGACAUAUUGAGAGCAGGAAGAGACCAGCCUAAUUAGGCAAACUGAAGAGUGGGGAGGCUAGCUGGAAUUAGCCUCAUGCCACUCAAGAAUCUGCAGUUACAAAGAAAAGUUUGAGCUUAUCUUUAGGGGGAUAGGUACCUACAAAGCCACAGUCUGUUAUGAAGCCUGAGAUGAUGAAUCUGUAUGUAAUCCAUGUAGACUAUCCACUGUAACUAAUGUAUUAAACAAUGGUUCCUAACACUAUCCAAGGAAUUCAGAGUUUGAACUUCACUUAAAUAAAAAUCUGAAGAUCUGGGAUAUGUGUUUAUGAUUUUUGUGUUUGGACUCUGAAGAUUUUGAAUCCUGUCUACAUAAGAUAAAGAAGAUCAAUACCACCUGUAGAUGAGUUAGCUACUUUUAGCUUCUUAUCAAAAGAGAAUUUUGUGCAGUAUCAACAACACUCCUUGAAUUGCCCGUUUCUUGGUUUGAAGGAGUAGCUGUAAUUGCAUGGAAACUCAUUCACUGCUAAGAAUGAGAGCAAAUGAGUCUGCCUAAUGAAGCACCUGGAGGAAGAGAUGAGAUGCACAUAUGAGACAGACAUUCAUUCAGUGGAGUGGAUCUUGAAAUGUGUAAUCUGCCAUAUAGCACAGCGAUGACAGGAAGAUAUUGUCCUAAUGUGUAAAAACUAUAAUCAGAUGUUUCUCAGGUAACCUUUGAUGUGUUCCCAAAGCACCAUGAGAGAGUGUCACAACUGCCCAGUCAACGAAGUGGGACUGGCACUGGAGACAGUUCCAAGCAGUUGAUAACUCUCUGAUAGUUUUAUUUCUCUCUACUAACCCACUGGAUAACAAGCUGCUGAAACUAUCCUUGAUUAUAUGCACAAAAAGGACUUCAAGCCUGAGGGUAGUCAAAAGGAAGCAUCUAACUUCUGCUACUUGGGCUAAAGGCUUCUUGUGGACAAAAGCAGACUUGAGUUGACAGGAGUGAGUAGUAAUUGGUUAAUUAAUGUUCUUUGGAUCUUUCCCUAAAGGAAUUUCAAUAUGAAAGUUCAAGGAAAAGACUUUGAAAGGUUUUGACAACAAAAAUUUAUGAUCGGAGCUUUAACUUAAAGACAAUUGGUCUAAGGGAAAGUGGAGAGGGAAAUGGGAAAUGGAUAUAGAUUAAGAUCCAUGGCAUACAAGUGUGUGAUUUUCAGAGAAUGAAUAAAAAUGUUGUUUAAAACAUUUUACAAAAUUUAGUAAUGUGAAGAUGUGCCUUUUAAAAUGCAUAUGGACACAAAUACUUGAAAGUAAAAACAUAUUCAAAUAUCAGCAUCAAGGGAUGGUAUUUAGUGUUCAAGCCUUUAUCACUGGUGAAAUACAAAACUCCAUUUAUAUUGCAAAUCAAAUCUGAUUAAAUUAUCCAAAAUAAUAUGAAUAUUAUACCAUAACUAUCUAAAUGUCUUGAAGCUUAAUAAAUAAGUAAAGGUUAAUGAUAUCACAAUAUGAUCAGCUAAAGUAUGAAUGAAAAAUUACCUACACUCUAAGUCUAUUUGCUCAGGUUCUUAGAGAAAUCUGUUUUGUAAGUUCUUAUACCUCAAAAUGGGUCUUAUAUACUUUGAUGGUUUCAUUUUCUAUGCAUGUAUGCUUCUCCCUAUUUUGUUUUAUCUCAGAACAACCAAGUCAAGCUCUUCCCCUUCAUCAUCUUCAUUUUCAUGCUAUAUUACUAAGCCCUUUCUGUUCUUCUAAGGCUCACUGAGAACGUGCUCUCAAAUUCCAUCCUCACUUCCUCUGAUCUAUCCCCACCCACACAGCAGAUUAUUAUGUAUAAGAGACUAAUU
Molecule: long non-coding RNA, 5340 nt
Organism: Mastomys coucha (southern multimammate mouse)
Lineage: Eukaryota; Metazoa; Chordata; Mammalia; Rodentia; Muridae
Exons: 2
Source: RefSeq, a predicted model, not a curated record